GAUGAACGCUGGCGGCGUGCCUAACACAUGCAAGUCGAGCGAACGGACGAGAAGCUUGCUUCACUGAUGUUAGCGGCGGACGGGUGAGUAACACGUGGAUAACCUACCUAUAAGACUGGGAUAACUUCGGGAAACCGGAGCUAAUACCAGAUAAUAUUUUGAACCGCAUGGUUCAAAAGAGAAAGACGGUCUUGCUGUCACUUAUCGAUGGAUCCGCGCUGCAUUAGCUAGUUGGUAAGGUAACGGCUUACCAAGGCAACGAUGCCUAGCCGACCUGAGAGGGUGAUGGGCCACACUGGAGCUGAGACACGGUCCAGACUCCUACGGGAGGCAGCAGUAGGGAAGCUUCCGCAAUGGGCGAAAGCCUGACGGAGCAGCGGCGCGUGAGUGAUGAAGGUCUUCGGAUCGUAAAACUCUGUUAUUAGGGAAGAACAUAUGUGUAAGUAACUGUGCACAGCUUGACGGUACCUGAUCAGGAAGCCACGGCUAACUACGUG
RNAcentral lists this ribosomal RNA (497 nucleotides) under uncultured bacterium. RNAcentral describes it as "partial 16S ribosomal RNA". It matches the Rfam family "Bacterial small subunit ribosomal RNA", at positions 28 to 507 of the family's 1533-position model. The record is from RNAcentral.